GGAAGAGCUGUUAUUUCUGUGAGAUCUGCCAUCCUGUUUCCACCAUGGUUCAUUUGCAUAACCUGGCUGGCUAGCUUGGAUGUCCACAGUUGUCUACUACUUUUCUUAUGGUUCCAUGUGCGUCCUUCCUAAAGCUGAGCACUCGAUGGAAGAGGAUGGAUGACCUUGCCACAAUUAGAGGAGGGCCAUACUUUGGUCCAGAGCAAAUGGGUAACUGUGCUCCUCUGUCACAGCCUCCAAAUAAGCAGAACCAGAUUUCACAUGUCAAGUCAUACCUCCUCCUCACCAUGGA
Molecule: small RNA, 292 nt
Filed under: Meriones unguiculatus (Mongolian gerbil)
Lineage: Eukaryota; Metazoa; Chordata; Mammalia; Rodentia; Muridae
Description: 7SK RNA (ENSMUGG00000004067.1)
Rfam family: 7SK RNA
About the family: 7SK was discovered as an abundant small nuclear RNA in the mid-70s but a possible function has only recently been suggested. Two independent studies have found that 7SK RNA binds the CDK9/cyclin T complex (known as elongation factor P-TEFb). P-TEFb activates transcription by phosphorylating the C-terminal domain of RNA polymerase II.
Source: RNAcentral